This 306-nucleotide ribosomal RNA is filed under the name uncultured Sediminicola sp. Its description in RNAcentral is "bacterial SSU rRNA". It matches the Rfam family "Bacterial small subunit ribosomal RNA", at positions 28 to 334 of the family's 1533-position model. The record is from RNAcentral. Lineage: Bacteria; Pseudomonadati; Bacteroidota; Flavobacteriia; Flavobacteriales; Flavobacteriaceae.
GAUGAACGCUAGCGGCAGGCUUAACACAUGCAAGUCGAACGGUAACAUAGUGCUUGCACUGAUGACGAGUGGCGAACGGGUGCGUAACGCGUAUACAACCUACCUCCUAUUAAGGAAUAGCUCGAUGAAAAUUGAAUUAAUACCUUAUAAUAUCUUAAAAUCGCAUGGUUUAAAGAUUAAAGAAUUUCGAUAAGAGAUGGGUAUGCGUGAUAUUAGCUAGUUGGUAAGGUAACGGCUUACCAAGGCAACGAUAUCUAGGGGGUCUGAGAGGAUGAUCCCCCACACUGGUACUGAGACACGGACCAG